UCUGGUCUAAUUCUGACGCUGAGGAGCGAAAGCUAGGGGAGCAAACGGGAUUAGAUACCCCGGUAGUCCUAGCUAUAAACGAUGGAUACUAGGUGUGGGAGGUAUCGACCCCUUCUGUGCCGCAGCUAACGCAUUAAGUAUCCCGCCUGGGGAGUAUGGUCGCAAGGCUGAAACUCAAAGGAAUUGACGGGGGCCCGCACAAGCGGUGGAGCAUGUGGUUUAAUUCGACGCAACGCGAAGAACCUUACCGGGGCUUGACAUUGUCUUGCCCAUCUAAGAAAUUAGAUUUUCUUCCCUUCGGGGAAGACGAGAUAACAGGUGGUGCAUGGUUGUCGUCAGCUCGUGUCGUGAGAUGUUGGGUUAAGUCCCACAACGAGCGCAACCCUUGUCCUUAGUUGCCAGUUUGUUUACAAACGCACUCUAAGGAGACUGCCGCAGAUAAUGCGGAGGAAGGUGGGGAUGACGUCAAAUCAUCAUGCCCCUUACGUCCCGGGNUACACACGUGCUACAAUGGCCUGUACAGAGGGUUGCGAAAGAGCAAUACUCUAGCCAAUCCUUUAAACAGGCCCAAGUUNGGAUUGGAGGCU
RNAcentral lists this ribosomal RNA (587 nucleotides) under uncultured bacterium. RNAcentral describes it as "bacterial SSU rRNA". It matches the Rfam family "Bacterial small subunit ribosomal RNA", at positions 728 to 1306 of the family's 1533-position model. The record is from RNAcentral.